Molecule: small RNA, 967 nt
Filed under: Arabidopsis thaliana (thale cress)
Lineage: Eukaryota; Viridiplantae; Streptophyta; Magnoliopsida; Brassicales; Brassicaceae
Description: ATSL293870
Source: RNAcentral
AUUUAAGGUAAAUCUUUGAACUCUGAAAAUAUUUAUUGGGUAGAGUCCCACAAAAUUUUAAAUUGAUUCUAAACAAGAGAUCCAUAUUUAUGUAGUUAGACCCUGUUUGUUUCUUCAUCCAAAUGGAUCAUCUGGAUGGAGAUGAAAAAUGAUGUUUGUUUUUGACAAAUUAACAAAUCAUUUGGAUGAAUCAUUUGGAUGGUCCAUCUGAAUGACUUUGUAAAUUUAGGCUAAUUUGUGAAACUCAUUUGGAUGGACUUGGUAGAACCAUUUGGAUGGAGAUGAUUUAGUCCAAAAAACCGCAAAAUCAUAUUUUCCCGCAAAAACCAUAAAAUCAUGUUUUCCCGCCAAAAUCAUAUUUCUCGCCAAAACCGUAAAAUCAUAUUUUUCCACCAAACCACAAAAUCAUAUUUUUCCCGGUAAAACCGUAAAAUCAUAUUUUCCCGCCAAAACCUAAAAUUGUAUUUUCCCGCCAAAACCGUAAAAUCAUAUUUUCCCACCAAACCACAAAAUCAUAUUUUUCCCGCUAAAACCGUAAAAUCAUGUUUUUCCGCCAAAAUCUUAUUAUCAUAUUUUCCCACCAAAAUCGUAAAAUUAUAUUUUCCGCCAAAACCACAAAAUCAUAUUUUUCGCCAAAACCGUAAAAUCAUAUUUUUCCGCCAAAACCGUAAAAUCAUUUCUUCAUUAAAAUUAUAUUUGGUAAUGAUGUUAAAUAUUUGUCAUUUGUUAAAAUUAUAGAAUGGGUAUUUUAGUCAUUUUUAUUAGAAUGAGAAUGUAGAUGAAUUACAAAAUGAUCAAACAAAGAAAUAUUCAUUUAAAUGCAUCAUUUAGAUAAAAUACUAAAUAAUCAAACAAACAUCAUUCAAAUACAUCAUUUAAAUUGAUCAUGUAAAUGGAUCAUUUAGAUGUAAAUGACAAAUGAUCAAACAAACAGGGGAUAAAGCUAAGCUAAACAAUUCAAUUCUAU